AUAAGGUUUUUGAAGUAAUCAACAGCAACAACAAAAAUAUAUAUAUGCUGCAUUCUCAAGAGGAAAUGCUUGCUCUGCUUUCUCUCUUUCCCCCUUCAUGAUGGCUGGAAUAAAGACAUGGUGAGAAGCCAGGCUGGGCAUGUAGAUGAACACAUACUACCAAGACCGUGGAACAGUGAGUCAGAGGGACUGUGUCCCUUGAUUAUCAUGUACAGUGGAACCAUUUGGCUGUGUUGGGCCACCUCCCACUUCUGGAUUCUGAGGGUGUGGUCUUCAUGUGCAUAGUUGCAGCUGGUUACCACUUUCACAAUGCAGCCUAUGUGAGUGUGGGAAGAGAGAAAGUCCAGGACAAGUGAAUUCUUUUUAAGCAGGCAAGGGAAACAAAAGCAAAAAUGAAAACAUGGGACUACAUCAAACUGAAAAGCUGUGUAUGGCAAAGAACACCAUCAACAGAACAAAAAGGCAUCCUACGGAAUGGGAGAAUAUAUUUGUAAAUGACAUAUCCAA
Long non-coding RNA from Manis pentadactyla (Chinese pangolin), 507 nucleotides. RefSeq lists it as uncharacterized. The record is from RefSeq and is a predicted model, not a curated record. The transcript has 3 exons. NCBI's taxonomy places the organism in Eukaryota, Metazoa, Chordata, Mammalia, Pholidota, Manidae.